GUUUUUCUUCGGACCCUAUCGAGGCACACAGACCAUGGGGAUUCUGUCCGUGGUGACAGCCUUAACAUUUGCCAGAGCCCUGGACGCCGCUGCACAAAUGGCAUUGCCCACCCUGGAAGUGAGAAGAUGAAAACAGUGAAGCUCAGAGGGGGCGAGAUGGCCGGGAGCCGGGGGUGUUCAGCCUCUGGGUUGCAGGGGCAGCCAUCAAGAGGGAGGCACUCUUCUUGUCCCCCAGUUACAGGUGAGAACUAAGCACAGCAAGAGGUAAGUAGUCGCCUGGGUUCACAAGCUCCUGGUGAACAACGGUGUCUGGGUUUCGAAGCCAGACAGUCCUUCUCUGGACCACGUAUCCC
Long non-coding RNA from Lutra lutra (Eurasian river otter), 353 nucleotides. RefSeq lists it as uncharacterized. The transcript is spliced from 3 exons. NCBI's taxonomy places the organism in Eukaryota, Metazoa, Chordata, Mammalia, Carnivora, Mustelidae. The record is from RefSeq and is a predicted model, not a curated record.